CUGUCGCGUUGUACCUCCGCGGGGCUGGUGGGGUCGGGGAGCGCACCACGCCCACGCCGCCGCUGCUCAAGCCCUGCGAAUCCCUGGUCCCACUCCGGGAGGCAGGGGGUCCUGCGGACGGCGCGCACCGACCUCCGACGCGUUCCAAUCCGCGCGCCUGCCGGUCCUGGCCUCGUUGGCGCGCGCCGGUUUCCGUAUCCGGCUUCAGCCGUUUCCGGUCUUACCGGGCCCGUCGGGAGGUAGGUGAUCGUGUUGGGGAGCGGGCUCGGUGAUCGGGCCCGCCGAAGUGUGCUCGCCGAGGUAGACUGCCCCCGGCCUCGGCUUCCCUCCCUGCUGCUAUGUGUUGUCAAAGGUCCUUUCUUGGGAGAAGGACUCGGGUGAGAAGCAUGUGGAGAUGCCUUCCACCUGCAAACGGGGGGAAGGAGUACCCGGAAUUUUAUCUAUUCGUGGGACCCGCGCUGGGGAUGCCUAGGUAAUCGAGAUGUCAUCUAUGCCGUACUCAUCGCUGGUUUCGAGCGUGCUCAGACGUUCCCUCCCAGAGCAGAUGUAGAGCUCACCUGUUCUCUUUCCAGACUCAGAGAUAGAGUCAAGCUGCUUGGCGCUCCAACCCCCACAGUUCACAAAUGAGAGAUCUAGAGAGAGAGUAUGACCUCCCUAAGACCAUAUGGCUGGUGAAUUGUGGGCUUGUCUCAGCGCUCCUUCCAUCAUUUCACAUUCAUUCCCCCUUUAUCUGGGAGAUUGCUCUGAUGUAUUUCCUGACUUACAUCCUAUGGAGAUGGGUUUUAUUGUUCUCCCAGGCCUUUGGGCUCUGUUAUCAGGUUCACUUUCUUUCCCAGGGUGUACUACAAACCUCCAGAUGUUGGUCUGAGAUUCAGCAGAGAGUGAGUCCUCUAUCCUUUCAUUGGUAAGCCACUCUUCUCAAUUGCUCUCCUACCACCCACCAUCCUCAUGUCUACCUUACUCCUUAAUCUGGAUUUUGGCGAACCUCCCCCCAAAAAGACAUUAGAAGGGAAUGCCAAGCACCGAAAAUUUGUCAAGAAGCGUCGGCUCUUGGAAAGGAGAGGCUUUCUGAAUAAGAAGAACCAGCCCCCUAGCAAUGUGCCUAAGUUACACUUAGAACCUCCAAAGAAAGGGGAAACUCCGCAGGUGGAUGGCACUUGGAAAAUGUCUCCCCUUCCAAAAAAUAAGACUGCUGCCUCCAGCAGUGGGUCAGAGCAGCCUCUGGACAAGAAAGCUUCUGUGCCUUGGCUGACCCCUGCCCCUUCACAGAAGGCUGUUUCUGUUAUGGCUAAGGCAGAUUUGCUGGGAGAGUUCCAGAGUUCCCUUCCAAAGAUUAAGAACCACCCAACUCGCCCCCAGAAGAAGGACCCCCAAAAGAACCCUUCUCAAAAUACCCCACAGAACUCCACAUUGGCUCAUUCAGAGAAUAAAUGCUCUGGAGCAUCCCAGAAGAUGCCGAGGAAAAUGGUCGCAAUUGACUGUGAGAUGGUGGGCACAGGACCCAAGGGGCAUGUGAGUUCUUUGGCUCGAUGUAGCAUCAUCAACUACAAUGGAGAUGUGCUCUAUGAUGAGUAUAUCCUUCCCCCCUGCCACAUUGUGGACUACCGCACCAGAUGGAGUGGUAUUCGCAAGCACCACAUGGUGAAUGCUACACCCUUCAAGAUUGCUCGAGGCCAGAUCUUGAAAAUACUCACAGGGAAGAUAGUGGUGGGACAUGCCAUCCACAAUGACUUCAAAGCCCUUCAGUAUUUUCACCCCAAGUCUCUUACCCGCGACACCUCGCAUAUCCCUCCUCUCAACCUGAAGGCUGACUGCCCAGAAAAUGCUACCAUGUCUCUGAAGCAUCUCACCAAGAAGCUGUUGAACCGGGAUAUCCAGGCUGGGAAAAGUGGACAUUCCUCUGUGGAAGACGCUCAGGCCACCAUGGAGCUGUACAAGUUGGUUGAACCCACGUGCUCUGGUGCCUUGUCUUCACCCCUACCACAAAUGAAGCCAUUCGAUCACACCCCAAGCCAUUCGAGGCCCUUUACAUGGAGUGCAUGUGACCAGGAGAGGACUUGAAGAGAACACAUGGAGGAGGGAUGGAGCAAAGAGAGGAGGGGGGCUUGAUGACGCCAGCCUGGUUGCUCCUGUUAGCUCUUGGUGGUGCACACCUGCAUUUUGGGAAGGAUCCUGGUUUUAUAAAUUCAUAAUAGAAGAGCCCCAUUGCAGAUUGCUGCCUGAAUCCGUCAGCAAGUCCUGUUUGGCAGAGUGGACCAUAUGCAUGAUAAAACACAAGCUCUUCUAAUAGUAUUCUUUUCAUGGCAUAAUGGUGUUUCCUAAUGCUGAGCCCUCCUA
Molossus molossus (Pallas's mastiff bat) is the source of this 2337-nucleotide RNA transcript. It is a transcript of the gene named interferon stimulated exonuclease gene 20 like 2, with no coding region annotated. The transcript is spliced from 5 exons. The record is from RefSeq and is a predicted model, not a curated record. Lineage: Eukaryota; Metazoa; Chordata; Mammalia; Chiroptera; Molossidae.